UGAGAUUCAGGUGCCCAGGUGUGGGAUUCAGGUGUUCAGGUGUGAGAUUCAGGUGCCCAGGUGUGGGAUUCAGGUGCCCAGGUGUGAGAUUCAGGUGCCCAGGUGUGGGAUUCAGGUGCCCAGGUGUGAGAUUCAGGUGCCCAGGUGUGGGAUUCAGGUGUUCAGGUGUGGGAUUCAGGUGCCCAGGUGUGGGAUUCAGGUGUUCAGGUGUGGGAUUCAGGUGUUCAGGUGUGAGGUGCAGAGCAGUGGAGUGCAGGUGUUCAGGUGUGGGGUGCAGGUGACACCUGGGGACCUCAGGGCUGGUGGCACCUGGGACCCAGGUGUGGUCUCGGGGUGCACCUGAGACAGGUGACAGGAGCACCUGAGACAGGUGACACAGUGCCCCAGGUGACAGGAGCACCUGAGACAGGUGACACAGUGCCCCAGGUGACAGAGACACCUGAGACAGGUGACACAGUGCCCCAGGUGACAGGAGCACCUGAGACAGGUGACACAGUGCCCAGGUGACAGGAGCACCUGACACAGGUGACACAGUGCCCCAGGUGACAGGAGCACCUGACACAGGUGACACAGUGCCCCAGGUGACAGAGACACCUGAGACAGGUGACACAGUGCCCCAGGUGACAGGAGCACCUGACACAGGUGACACAGUGCCCCAGGUGACAGAGACACCUGAGACAGGUGACACAGUGCCCCAGGUGACAGGGACUGUCCAAGGUGCACCUGAGACAGGUGACAGAGUGCCCAGGUGACAGGAGCACCUGAGACAGGUGACACAGUGCCCCAGGUGACAGGAGCACCUGAGACAGGUGACACAGUGCCCCAGGUGACAGGAGCACCUGAGCCAGGUGACACAGUGACACAGGUGACAGGAGCACCUGAGACAGGUGACACAGUGCCCCAGGUGACAGAGACACCUGACACAGGUGACACAGUGCUCCAGGUGACAGGAGUUACCCCGAUGUACCCCCAGCACAGGUGACACAGUAACACAGGUGACAGGAGCACCUGAGACAGGUGACACAGUGCCCCAGGUGACAGGAGCACCUGAGACAGGUGACACA
Long non-coding RNA from Catharus ustulatus (Swainson's thrush), 1064 nucleotides. RefSeq lists it as uncharacterized. The transcript is spliced from 7 exons. The record is from RefSeq and is a predicted model, not a curated record. NCBI's taxonomy places the organism in Eukaryota, Metazoa, Chordata, Aves, Passeriformes, Turdidae.